Molecule: long non-coding RNA, 744 nt
Filed under: Brachypodium distachyon (stiff brome)
Lineage: Eukaryota; Viridiplantae; Streptophyta; Magnoliopsida; Poales; Poaceae
Description: long non-coding RNA (BDIS_LNC003273)
Source: RNAcentral
UGAACUCUUUGAGAACUAAGCGUAACUGAACGCUACCUUGCUAAGUGUGACUCCGAAACCUGCGUGUGGCUGGGGUGUUAGAAGGACGCUUGCGGGGGGAGUGUGCUCCCGGUGCGGCUUCCGGGUCCGUCACGGGAGUGCAUGGCCUGGAGUAGUUACCCCGCAAGCGGAGUGACUCGCCGCUGCUGCUUGGCCCCAGGUCGGCACUGCGGGUCCAUCUCGGGUCCCUGAUCCAGCCAAUAGUGAGGCGCACGAGUCCCCUGCAAUACAAAGCACAACACACAACGGCUGAGGGAUCCACCCCGCGAGGCAGCCCCGGGAACAAGGAACAAGGAUUGAGUAGAACUAAAAGCAGGAUUAACAAAGUAGCAAAUGAUUACAUGAGAUAAUGAAUCAGUAAUUGUUCAAACGGCGCCAAGCGUCGUGCUUGUAGGAACGAAAACAAAAAAAAAGGAAAACAAAGGAACGGCAAGGGCUAGCGGGAGGCUGCGGCAACUAGUUGCUGGCGUCUUCCGUCGGGGGCUCCGGGGAUGGCUCGGGGUCCGGCUUCUGCUGCAUCCGCUUGACCACCUCAUCGACAAACCCACUCACCGCCUGAGUGUGCACGGGUUUGUCCUUGCUGUCCGACCAAGCGUCCAGCAGCGUCUCGAAGGGAAACUCCGGGUCCCGGAGCUGUACCCUCGGGAGGAUCGUCCCGGCAACCUCUCAGGCGUAGUUGGCAACUUCGUUGGCACCAAACUUGGC